RNAcentral lists this small RNA (416 nucleotides) under Vibrio anguillarum. Lineage: Bacteria; Pseudomonadati; Pseudomonadota; Gammaproteobacteria; Vibrionales; Vibrionaceae. The record is from RNAcentral.
GUCGGAAGGAUUCUGACACGGAACAGGAAAGCACCACGGAUUGGUCAUCUUCAGGAUGAAGAGACGACUGCUCAGGAUGAAUGGUCGGCACGGAAAGCAAAUUGGACAUUGAAUGGACGCAAUAGUAGCUAGGAUGGUUACUACUAAGGAAAGACAAUGGACACCUCUGGACGAGGCAAGGACUGAACAUCAGGAUGAUGUAAAGGACACCGCUCAAGGAACAAGUGAAGCGCGCUAACGUGGAUGGUUAGCAGACUAGGAAGUCACCAAGGACACCGCUAGGAAGGCGAAGAACGGAUUAAGCUGACGGAAUUCAGCCACUAUCAUGGAUUUGAUGCAUGGAGCACUUUCGUAGCUGGAUUGCUGCAAGUAAGACUAUAACCCCGCAGGGCGCAAGCCCUCGGGGUUUUUCUUUU